This 217-nucleotide long non-coding RNA is filed under the name Panicum hallii. RNAcentral's name for it is "long non-coding RNA (PHAL_LNC000319)". Lineage: Eukaryota; Viridiplantae; Streptophyta; Magnoliopsida; Poales; Poaceae. The record is from RNAcentral.
AUCAAACAAACUUGGUUACGAGAUGGGGUCUCACAAACCGAUGAACAGCGACACUGUUCGAUGACAGAUUGAAUAUAAGCAAAACCCAAACCCUAAUAUGGCGAUGGCUACUGAAUAAAAAGGAGUUAGGGGCAUACAAGUCCCCUGGAUGCAACCCUAAUGGGUUCCAACACGGUACACAGGCCAACGGCCCAACAGACGGUGACACAGUAUUCUG